Molecule: small nuclear RNA, 107 nt
Filed under: Cebus imitator (Panamanian white-faced capuchin)
Lineage: Eukaryota; Metazoa; Chordata; Mammalia; Primates; Cebidae
Source: RNAcentral
GUGCUUGCUUCGGCAGCACAUAUACUAAAAUUGGAACGAUACAGAGAAGAUUAGCAUGGCCCCUGCACAAGGAUGACACGCAAAAUCGUGAAACGUUCCAUAUUAAA